Molecule: long non-coding RNA, 455 nt
Organism: Suricata suricatta (meerkat)
Lineage: Eukaryota; Metazoa; Chordata; Mammalia; Carnivora; Herpestidae
Exons: 3
Source: RefSeq, a predicted model, not a curated record
CAGAGCUGCCCAAGUCCUACCCCACAAACACUUAUACACCAUGUGCUCCUCCAACAAGAGGAGGACUCCAUCCCCCUCAGCAUCCUCCAAGCCCAGCUCCUUGGCCAACCCAACCAGGCCUGUGUUCCCUGAGGCUUCGGAAGGCCAGAGUCAUGCCUAUGGGCUUCCCAGGGGCUCUGGUUCCUCAGGCUUCCUCCUGCCAAGAGCCAGAUUCCGGCUCCUCAGGAUCCUGGCACCCUAGCCAUGCCCCAACCACAGGACAGGUGUCUGACCUGGAUCUACAGCCCCAAAGCAGGCAGUCCCCAGGGUCUUGGGUACUCCUCAGACAAGAAGGAAAGGUACCAACCUGAACAGUCUAAAAUCCAUGCAUCUCUGAGCAUCCUGGUACUGGGACUGUCAGGCCCAGGCAGUCCUUUGAGUGCCAGUGAUUCGCUUUAAUAAAGGGCCACAUGAAC